RNAcentral lists this ribosomal RNA (478 nucleotides) under uncultured bacterium. Its description in RNAcentral is "partial 16S ribosomal RNA". It matches the Rfam family "Bacterial small subunit ribosomal RNA", at positions 28 to 507 of the family's 1533-position model. The record is from RNAcentral.
GAUGAACGCUGGCGGCGUGCUUAACACAUGCAAGUCGAACGAGAAGUGAAGACGGAACCCUUCGGGCGGAAGGCUUUAUUUCGAGUGGCGGACGGGUGAGUAACGCGUGGGUAACCUGCCUCAUACAGGGGGAUAACAGUUGGAAACGACUGUUAAUACCGCAUAAGACCACCGCACCGCAUGGUGCGGGGGUAAAAACUCCGGUGGUAUGAGAUGGACCCGCGUUCGAUUAGCCAGUUGGCGGGGUAACGGCCCACCAAAGCGACGAUCGAUAGCCGAUCUGAGAGGAUGACCGGCCACAUUGGGACUGAGAUACGGCCCAAACUCCUACGGGAGGCAGCAGUGGGGAAUAUUGCACAAUGGGGGAAACCCUGAUGCAGCGACGCCGCGUGAGUGAAGAAGUAUUUCGGUAUGUAAAGCUCUAUCAGCAGGGAAGAAAAUGACGGUACCUGAGUAAGAAGCCCCGGCUAACUACGUG